UGGGGAAUAUUGCACAAUGGGGGAAACCCUGAUGCAGCGACGCCGCGUGAGCGAAGAAGGUUUUCGAAUCGUAAAGCUCUGUCCUAUGGGAAGAUAAUGACGGUACCAUAGGAGGAAGCCCCGGCUAACUACGUGCCAGCAGCCGCGGUAAUACGUAGGGGGCAAGCGUUGUCCGGAAUCACUGGGCGUAAAGGGUUCGCAGGCGGAAAUGCAAGUCAGUUGUGAAAGGCAGAGGCUCAACCUCUGUAAGCAAUUGAAACUGUAUUUCUUGAGAUGUGGAGAGGCAAGUGGAAUUCCUAGUGUAGCGGUGAAAUGCGUAGAUAUUAGGAAGAAUACCGGUGGCGAAGGCGACUUGCUGGACACAAAAUGACGCUGAGGAACGAAAGCGUGGGUAGCAAACAGG
Molecule: ribosomal RNA, 403 nt
Filed under: Fusobacteriota bacterium
Lineage: Bacteria; Fusobacteriati; Fusobacteriota
Description: Fusobacteria bacterium partial 16S ribosomal RNA
Rfam family: Bacterial small subunit ribosomal RNA
Source: RNAcentral